Molecule: ribosomal RNA, 237 nt
Filed under: uncultured Geobacter sp.
Lineage: Bacteria; Pseudomonadati; Thermodesulfobacteriota; Desulfuromonadia; Geobacterales; Geobacteraceae
Description: partial 16S ribosomal RNA
Rfam family: Bacterial small subunit ribosomal RNA
Source: RNAcentral
AAGGACUGCCGGUGUCAAACCGGAGGAAGUGGGAUGACGUCAAGUCCUCAUGGCCCUUAUGACCAGGGCUACACACGUGCUACAAUGGCCGGUACAAAGAGUUGCGAUACCGCGAGGUGGAGCUAAUCUCAUAAAGCCGGUCUCAGUUCGGAUUGGAGUCUGCAACUCGACUCCAUGAAGUUGGAAUCGCUAGUAAUCGCGGAUCAGCAUGCCGCGGUGAAUACGUUCCCGGGCCUU